CCCCUCUCAGAGUCACAACUGGAAAGUUCUAGUACUCUACCAGUCUUGGCUGUGGGAGGGAGAGUCAAGAAGAGGCCUAUCCAUUCCAUUCCUAGCCUGGCCAGUGGCUAACGAGUGGAAGACAAUCUGCUACAAGU
Molecule: small nucleolar RNA, 137 nt
Organism: Ornithorhynchus anatinus (platypus)
Lineage: Eukaryota; Metazoa; Chordata; Mammalia; Monotremata; Ornithorhynchidae
Source: RefSeq, a predicted model, not a curated record